AGGUCUCUGUGGAUGAUGA
Molecule: unclassified non-coding RNA, 19 nt
Filed under: Mus musculus (house mouse)
Lineage: Eukaryota; Metazoa; Chordata; Mammalia; Rodentia; Muridae
Description: oocyte_clustered_small_RNA6276
Source: RNAcentral